This 4311-nucleotide ribosomal RNA is filed under the name Triticum aestivum (bread wheat). RNAcentral describes it as "partial small subunit ribosomal RNA". Lineage: Eukaryota; Viridiplantae; Streptophyta; Magnoliopsida; Poales; Poaceae. The record is from RNAcentral.
AUGGCGGAGCUGGCGACGGGCGCCGUGACCACGCUACUGGGGGUGAUCAGCCAUGAGGCAGUGAGGCUCGGCCGCGUCCGACGCGACGUGCAGUUCAUCCAAGAGGAGAUGGAGAGCAUGGGCAGCUUCCUGGCCAACCUGUCCGGGAGCAGCCGCGAGCACGACGAGCAGGUCCGCACCUGGAUGAAUCAGGUUCGGAUCCUCGCCAACGAUUGCAACAACUGCAUCGACCUCUACCUCUACCGUGGCGACCCCGGAUUCCACCGGCCCAGGGGGGGCCUUCGCCUCUACCUCUGGUGGGCUCCCUGGCUGCUGCGCAAGCUGCUCGCGCAGCACCGAGCAGCCGGCCAUCUGAGGGAGCUCAAGGACCGGGCACAAGACAUUGGAAAUCGCCGAUUGAGGUAUGGCGUCGAGGUCAAAACGGCGGAGUUGUCAUCAUCUUCGGGUGCUGGUGUUGGGCUCACGGAGCCAUUGUUGCUGCCGGCCACACAAGACCAUGAAGAAGACGACGACGACCAAGACGGAGUGGAUCCACUCAAGGUGGCCUUGUCCAUGACUACUAUGAGUAUGACAAUGGACAUGGAUGAGUACUUUAGGACGAGGUUAGACCACUGGAUCGGAUCGGUGGUGCAGGCGGAGGCAGGGGCGGUGGCGGCGGAGGAAGACAUAAUGCCAGAAUCGUCGACCGGAUCAAACCCAUUACUACCAUGCAUCGUCUUUGUGGUAACCAAACCCGAGGAUGCUGACGCUCUUGGGCGUAAAGCCCUGGCCGUGGCAGAAGCCCAUUUGAAGCGGGUAGAGGACGCCCAUGAUAAGGUGGUUGUCCCACCGGAUGGCGCCCUUGCGCAUGAAGUUAAGGCUGUUGUGCCAUCGGAGACCAACGACUCCGACCCUCUUGUGCAUCAAGAUAAGGCGGCAGGACCAUCGGAGACCAAGGACGUCUGUGCUCUUGCAAAUGAAGAUAAUGAGGUUGUGCCAUCGGAGACCAAGGACACUGGCACUCUCCGCACAAAGACAAGGCAAUGCCAUUGGAGACCAAGGACGUCGGCGCUCUUGCGCACGAAGAUAAGGCGUUUGUGCCACCCAAGACCAAGGACAAUAGCACUCUUGUGCAUCAAAAUAAGGCGGCUAUGCCACCGGAGGCCAAGGACGGCAGUGCCACCGGAGACCAAGGACGUUAGUGCUCCUAUGGAUGAAGCUGAGGUGGAUGUGCCACCGGAGACCAAGGACCAAGAGAAGACAGUUGUGCCACCAAUGACCAAGGACGCGGGCGCCUAUGCGCCUGGAGAUAAGGCUAUGCCACUGGAGAACAAGGAUGUCAGCACUCUUGUGCACCAAGAUAAGGUUAUGCCACCAGAGACCAAGCACACUACCGACCUUGCCCAUGAAGAUAAGGUUGUGCCACCGGAGAUCAACGAUCCCAGCGCCGUUGUGCAUGAAGAUAAGGUUGUGCCACCGGAGACCAGGGAUGCCGACGCUAUAGCACAGGUUGUAGCACCGCGGAAUGUCCUUGUCUUGGUCGACAUCUCGGCGGUGCAUUUCGACUUUGUACCGCUACGGCCCUACAGGAUUCUCUGCUACAUCCUGCGUCAACUCAACCGGCAGCAAGGCACGACUCCUCCUACAACAAAAUGGGGUACUUAUGAUUACAUAAAGAGGAUGCUUCGUGCCAUCAAGGACGAGAUAAAAGAAAUCAAGGUCGACAAAACAAUUGAAGACAUCAAUUGCAACCUUGUGGAUGGUAAAGACCUGAUAAAACCAAAGGAGGAUGGAAAGGAUCUUGAAAAAAAAGUCACCAAUAAACCAUUGGGGCAACUCCUCUCGCUGCUCAUCUACUGCUCAACGACGACUGCAGCUGAAAAGGAAGACAAAAAGAAGAAAGCCAUGAUAGCAGAAGUGUACGAUGUCAUCAUCAAGCAAACAGCCAAGAAGCUUAAAAGGAAAAUAGAAGCAGGCGGCUCAAAUACAAAGCAACUCAAGGAGCCCGAAUAUGAAGACAUCCUAUGGAAGGUGUUCCCAAGGCCAAGCAGCAUCAGAACCAUCGCUACAAAUGGUACUCCUGGCACACUGGUCGAGGAUGAAAUCAAAGAUAUAGUCAAAGAGGUUAAAGGAAUGUUGCAUGAGCUGCGGGAAUUAGACAAAUCUGAGAAGAACCAAGAGACAGGCAGUGAACCAGCUCAAACUGAGGAAGAUUAUUUCAAAAAAACCAUAAAGAACAAGAAAGAAGAAAUCGAAUGGAAGAUUACGAAGCAACUGAUGGUUAAAAGGAUCGUGGAAAAGAUUCAAGAAUGUUUGGGAGAUGAUCAAAGGAGGAUUUUGGUCAUUCUCAAAGUUGAUUACAAGUAUGUACCCAAAUGGGAGAAGACCAGAAAAACUUUGGGCCUGUUGGAGUGCCCCAUCACCGGUGCUGUGAUUGUGGCCACAAAAACCACUCAACAGGACACCAAGCAAUAUUUUCACUGUCCAGAGAAGGAUCUUGUAGAAUAUUCUCUUGUUGGCCUCUACCUUGAUACUGUGCUCCAGCAUACAAGCCAUCAUAUGAAUGAUGACAAGAUCCGCAAGAUUGUUCACAACAUUUUAUGCGAGUGCAAGUCAGAUGAAUUCUGCAUGAAGAUAUUUGCUCAUGCAUUGUACGCUAAACCCAAGAGGGGCAGUGAAGAGUUGAGCAAGUUGCAUGGAUCCUUGCAAGCCAGUGCCGCACAAAAAUCAUUGCCCAGUAGGAUGUUCAAGUUCUCCUACAGGGAUCUACCUAAAGAGUAUAGGUCUUGUUUGUUGUACCUCGCUAUCUUCCCUCCAGGAAAACCCAUCAGGCGGUCAACCUUGAUCGGACGAUGGGUUGCAGAAGGGCUGAUUACCACCAAAGAAUGGCACUGGUCCUCUUCAGUGGAGGAAGCCGAUAAAUGUUUUGAUACACUAGUUGCCCGGUGCCUCGUUUGUCCUGCUGGCAUUGGUGCUACUGGAACGAUCAAGAGCUGCACGGUUCAUAAGACAGUUUAUGGAUUCAUUACCAAGAUCGCCAUGAAGCAGCACAUUCUGGAGACACGGCUGUCACAUCAGUUGGCUCACCACUUCUCUAUUUUCAGCGAUGUUCGUCUCCGCAGCUCUCAAAAGAUCGAAAAUUUCUUGGAAAAGUCAUCUCAGUUCUCCAAGCUCAAGGUGCUAGAUCUAGAGGGCUGUGAUUGCUUCCCGGAGUACCAGCACUACUUGAGGAACAUAUGCAGGAAGAUGCUAAUGCUCAAGUAUCUCUGCCUAAGGCGAACCAAUGUUACCGAGCUGCCCAGUGAAAUAAACAAUCUUCUUGAGCUGGAGGUAUUGGAUAUACGGCAGACCAAUAUUCCUGCGUCUGCAACAAGACAUGUCCUGCUCAGAAAGCUGAAACGUCUGUUAGCUGGUAAUGUUGAUUCAAGCCCUGUUGACUUCCCUGAGAAGAUCAAAAAGUUCAAUGUCAAGCCGCAGAAUCGUCUGAAGCUUCUGUUGGCCGGUCAUGUUGGUUCAAGUACGAGCAGUCGUGCUGACUUCUCCAGUGUUCAGAUCCCUGAGAAGAUCGAGAAAAUGGAGGGAGUGGAGGUACUGUCCAAUGUCAAACCGAAGAAUAACCAGGACUUGAAAGACAUUGGAAGUCUAAAUCAGCUCAAGAAGCUCGGUGUGGCUAUCAACAAGGAGAGUGACCUCCAGCCGUUGCUUGAAGCAAUCAGUGACCUCCUAACCCAGUCCCUCCGUUUUCUGUCAAUUACUCUAGACAUACCUAGACACAAGGGCACUCCAGCAGCUCUCUGUCUGAAAGAAGACUGCCCCAAUGUUCUUGAGAGACUAAGUAUCAAUGAAAGCACUGGCGCACAAAAGGGGCAGCUUCUUAAGAUAUUUUCCGAAAAUGGAAAGCAACUUGCCAAGGUAACUCUAACUGGCACUUUGCUGAGCCAGGAAGAUCUGAAGGUCCUUGCCGAGCUUGAGAACUUACUGUGUCUCAAGCUUCGACACAAUGCAUACACUGAUAGUAAGCUUGUCUUCAACAAGGGUAAAUUCAAAAAUCUUAAGAACUUCCAUGUUGAGGGAACCAGCAUAACUGAAAUCAGAUUUGAUAAUGGGGCUGCUAGUAAGCUCGAGAGGAUCAUCUGGUCAUUCACCAAAAUUGAUUCUCUGUCUGGAAUCGACAAACUUCCUGCAUUAAAGGAGCUGGAGUUGAAUGGUGACACUGUCCCUAAUGCGGUGAAAGAAGACAUCAAAAGACUAAAGAGUAGAUCAGCACAACCGAAGGCCUUCCCUUUACUUCCUCGGUGCAUCAUCAAUUCCUCCCAUGAUUUGGGUUUGUGA